GACGAACCGUGCGAACGUUGUUCGGAAUCACUGGGCUUAAAGGGCGCGUAGGCGGCUGGGUAAGUCUCGGGUGAAAUCUUUCGGCUCAACCGGAAACGUGCCUGGGAUACUGCUCAGCUAGAGGGAGGUAGGGGCGGACGGAACUUCCGGUGGAGCGGUGAAAUGCGUUGAUAUCGGAAGGAACGCCGGUGGCGAAAGCGGUCCGCUGGAUCUCUACUGACGCUGAGGCGCGAAAGCCAGGGGAGCAAACGGG
This 253-nucleotide ribosomal RNA is filed under the name uncultured bacterium. RNAcentral describes it as "partial 16S ribosomal RNA". It matches the Rfam family "Bacterial small subunit ribosomal RNA", at positions 524 to 776 of the family's 1533-position model. The record is from RNAcentral.